Molecule: microRNA, 20 nt
Filed under: Bombyx mori (domestic silkworm)
Lineage: Eukaryota; Metazoa; Arthropoda; Insecta; Lepidoptera; Bombycidae
Description: bmo-miR-2779
Source: miRBase by way of RNAcentral
AUAUCCGGCUCGAAGGACCA